This 253-nucleotide ribosomal RNA is filed under the name uncultured bacterium. Its description in RNAcentral is "partial 16S ribosomal RNA". It matches the Rfam family "Bacterial small subunit ribosomal RNA", at positions 524 to 776 of the family's 1533-position model. The record is from RNAcentral.
UACAUGGGGUGCAAGCGUUGCUCGGAAUUAUUGGGCGUAAAGCGCACGUAGGCGGUUCGUUAAGUCAGAUGUGAAAGCCCCCGGCUCAACCGGGGAAGUGCAUCUGAAACUGGCGAGCUAGAGUACGAAAGAGGGUCGCGGAAUUCCCGGUGUAGAGGUGAAAUUCGUAGAUAUCGGGAGGAACACCGGUGGCGAAGGCGGCGACCUGGGUCGAUACUGACGCUGAGACGCGAAAGCGUGGGGAGCGAACAGG